Molecule: long non-coding RNA, 255 nt
Filed under: Rosa chinensis
Lineage: Eukaryota; Viridiplantae; Streptophyta; Magnoliopsida; Rosales; Rosaceae
Description: sRNA RchiOBHm_Chr1g0346811
Source: RNAcentral
UUUCUGGCUAGUUAAAUUCUAUAAUUAUCAUAGAGCUUGUAUGUGAAGUUUGGUGAAUUUUGGAGGAGUUUGGAAUUGUUUGUGAAUUUCCGAAGUUUGGGAGUUUCGGUUGUUGAAUUGUGGGAAUCCGACCUUCGGAUUUCCCUUGUUCCGAUAUGGAAUACAUCAAUCGACGGAUGGAUAUUAAUGGUGAAGUUUGAUUGGGUGUGGAAGAGGAUUGGAGAAGUUGAGAUUAUAAUUGUGUACAGGACGUGA